This 745-nucleotide ribosomal RNA is filed under the name uncultured bacterium. RNAcentral's name for it is "bacterial SSU rRNA". It matches the Rfam family "Bacterial small subunit ribosomal RNA", at positions 8 to 799 of the family's 1533-position model. The record is from RNAcentral.
AGAGUUUGAUCAUGGCUCAGAACGUACGCUGGCGGCACGCCUAACACAUGCAAGUCGAACGCAGUAGCAAUACUGAGUGGCAAACGGGUGAGUAUAAUGUGGGAAUCUGCCUUUUGGUUUGGAAUAACACGGGGAAACUUGUGCUAAUACUGAAUAAGCCCUUACGGGGAAAGUUUUAACGCCGAAAGAUGAGCCUGCACUUGAUUAGCUAGUUGGUAAGGUAAAAGCUUACCAAGGCGACGAUCAAUAGCUGUUCUUAGAGGAAGACCAGCCACAUUGGGACUGAGACACGGCCCAGACUCCUACGGGAGGCAGCAGUGGGGAAUCUUGCACAAUGGGGGAAACCCUGAUGCAGCGAUGCCGCGUGAGUGAAGAAGGCCCUUGGGUUGUAAAACUCUUUCGUCGGGGAAGAAAAUGACUGUACCCGAAUAAGAAGGUCCGGCUAACUUCGUGCCAGCAGCCGCGGUAAUACGAAGGGACCUAGCGUAGUUCGGAAUUACUGGGCUUAAAGAGCUCGUAGGUGGUUAAAAAAGUUGAUGGUGAAAUCCCAAGGCUCAACCUUGGAACUGCCAUCAAAACUUUUUAGCUAGAGUGUGAUAGAGGUAAGUGGAAUUUCUAGUGUAGAGGUGAAAUUCGUAGAUAUUAGAAAGAACACCAAAUGCGAAGGCAACUUACUGGGUCACUACUGACACUGAGGAGCGAAAGCAUGGGUAGCGAAGAGGAUUAGAUACCCUCGUAGUCCAUG